GAUGAACGCUGGCGGCGCGCCUAACACAUGCAAGUCGAACGAUUAAACCGCCCUUGGGCGGAUAUACAGUGGCGAACGGGUGAGUAACGCGUGACCAACCUUCCCCCCGCAUCGGGACAACCCGGGGAAACCCGGGCUAAUACCGGAUAUGCCGGGUAUGGCGCAUGUCAUACCCAGGAAAGCUUUUGCGGCGGGGGAUGGGGUCGCGUCCCAUCAGGUAGACGGCGGGGUAGUAGCCCACCGUGCCAACGACGGGUAGCCGGGUUGAGGGACCGACCGGCCACAUUGGGACUGAGAUACGGCCCAGACUCCUACGGGAGGCAGCAGUGGGGAAUCUUGCGCAAUGGGGGAAACCCUGACGCAGCGACGCCGCGUGCGGGAUGGAGGCCUUCGGGCCGUGAACCGCUUUCAGCAGGGAAGACAUUAAGGACGGUACCUGCAGAAGAAGCCCCGGCUAACUGCGUGCCAGCAGCCGCGGUAAUACGUAGGGGGCGAGCGUUAUCCGGAUUCAUUGGGCGUAAAGCGCGCGCAGGCGGCGCACCAGGCGGGAUCUCGAAACCGGGGGCUCAACCUCCGGGCGGAUCCCGAACCGGUGUGCUCGAGUGCGGUAGAGGAAGUCGGAAUUCCCGGUGUAGCGGUGAAAUGCGCAGAUAUCGGGAAGAACACCGAUGGCGAAGGCAGACUUCUGGGCCGACACUGACGCUCAGGCGCGAAAGCUGGGGGAGCGAACAGG
This 733-nucleotide ribosomal RNA is filed under the name uncultured Coriobacteriaceae bacterium. Its description in RNAcentral is "bacterial SSU rRNA". It matches the Rfam family "Bacterial small subunit ribosomal RNA", at positions 28 to 776 of the family's 1533-position model. The record is from RNAcentral. Lineage: Bacteria; Bacillati; Actinomycetota; Coriobacteriia; Coriobacteriales; Coriobacteriaceae.